GGGUUUGAUCCUGGCCCAGGACUAACGCUGGCGGCGUGCCUUAGGCAUGCAAGUGGAACGACCCUGAGAGCAAUCGAAGGGAAGUCGCGAACGGCUGAGUAAUAGAUAGGAAUCUACCCCUUGGUGGAGAAUACCCAUCCGAAAGGAUGGUUAAUACUGCAUAAGAUCUACGGAUGAAAGGGCAUAACUGCCCGCCGAUGGAUGAGCCUAUCUCCUAUCAGCUUGUUGGUAGGGUAAAAGCCUACCAAGGCUAUGACGGGUAGGGGACGUGAGAGCGUGACCCCCCAGAAGGGAACUGAGAUACGGUCCUUACACCUACGGGUGGCAGCAACCGGGAAUCGUGCGCAAUGGACGAAAGUCUGACGCCGCGACGCCGCGUGGAGGAUGAAGGCCUUAGGGUUGUAAACUCUUUUUGCCACAAGGGAGACCUUGUGGAGAAUAAGCACCCGCUAACUACGUGCCAGCAGCUGCGGUAAUACGUAGGGUGCGAGCGUUGUCCGGAUUUAUUGGGCGUAAAGAGUCUGUAGGUGGUCUAGAAAGUCACUUUUCAAAUACCGAGGCUUAACUUCGGAAAGGGAGGUGAUACUGCUAGACUUGAAGAGUGCAGGGGCUACUGGAACUUGUGGUGUAGGGGUGAAAUCCGUUGAUAUCACAAGGAACUCCAAGGGCGAAGGCGGGUAGCUGGGCACUAUUUGACACUGAGAGACGAAAGCUAGGGUAGCGAAAGGGAUUAGAGACCCCUGUAGUCCUAGCCGUAAACUAUGCUCGCUAGCUGGUUGCAAUUUAUUGUGGCUGGCGUAAGCUAACGCGUUAAGCGAGCCGCCUGGGGAGUACGAUCGCAAGAUUAAAACUCAAAGGAAUUGACGGGAAUCUGCACAACCAGUGGAUUAUGUGGUUUAAUUCGAGACGAACCGAAGAACCUUACCUGGACUUGACAUCCUGAUGACAACUCUAGAGAUAGAGUCUUUCAAUAUUUUAUUGAACAUCAGUGACAGGUGCUGCAUGGCCGUCGUCAGCUCGAGUCGUGGGAUGUUCCUUUAAGUAGGGAAUCGAGCGCAACCCUUGCUGCAUGUUGAAUAUUCAUGCGGGACUGCCCCGCUUAGCGGGGAGGAAGGAGAGGAUGACGUCAGGUCAGCAUGGCCCUUAUGUCCAGGGCUACACACAUAAUACAAUGGGGAGGACAAUGGGUUGCCAAACCGUAAGGUGGAGCUAAUCCCACAAACCUCCUCUCAGUUGGGAUUGAGGGCUGCAAUUCGCCCUCAUGAACGCGGAAUUGGUAGUAAUCGCGAAUCAGCUAAGUCGCGGUGAAUACGUUCCCAGAUUUUGUACACACCGCCCAUCAAGUUAGUGAAGUUGGGGGUACCCGAACACCUAGUGAUUAGGUGGAAGGUAAAUCCAGCGACAAGAAUUAAGUUGUAACAAGGUA
RNAcentral lists this ribosomal RNA (1426 nucleotides) under metagenome. RNAcentral's name for it is "bacterial SSU rRNA". It matches the Rfam family "Bacterial small subunit ribosomal RNA". The record is from RNAcentral.